AAGAGCUGGGCAGGAGGCAGGGGGAAUGGAGAUAAGGGUGCAACCCCAGGGCAGGGGGUAAUAGUCCACAGCAGCUGUGUUCACACCCAGGGACUCUGGGCAGAGGUGCUGGAGGUGGAGACCCACAGAACAGGGACUCUUUGCUCUCAAGGGAAGACCAGGGACUCCUAGGAAAUUCUCCAUCUGUGCUCUGGAAGGGGACAGCCAGGUGGGUUUGCACAGCAGGGUCUCCUUCCAUCCUGGAAAGGGAGGAGGGAGGCGGCUGCCGCUGUGGAAAUAACCUUGAACCUCCUGUGAGUCAUGGAGUAGGAGACAGUGCAGAGCUCAGCGCUUAGAGUCGGGGCUGCCUUGGAGUCGGCUGUGUCUGAGAGGUGAGCCUGGCACCAGCAAGUACUCUGUGACUGCCUGUGGCCGCCCCACGAUGCCUCGUGCUGCUUGCCUUCCUGGGGCAUCCAUGAUCACCAGUAGUGAGUUGCAUGCGGCGCCUCUUGGGAAAGAGCUGACGCAGGCAGGGAAGGCCAGGGAACGCUCUGCUGCCAGGGCUGCCUCCCCAGACCGCACGGUGCUGCCUCCAUCCUCCAGAUGGGCUCUGGGCCCGCCUGGCUCCACCAGCAGGCACGGUGGUCUCACCCUGGCAAGGACGGGUAGAAGCUGCUCCCCGCUCUCUGCCUUGUGAACCCACCGCUGCCCUCACUCUGGGUCCAGCCUUGAUAUGCCUAUAGCACCUGAGAUGCAGGCUUCGGUAAAUGCACAUCAAGUAUGGUGAGGACCAAAAAGAGGGAAACUGCAUUUUGAAGAAAAGUGAGAUACAUGUGAGUUCUGAACAUUGGAAGGACCAACUUUCGUGGUUCUGCCACACUGGAAAGGAUGUCAGCUGGAAGGUGCCUGGACCGUCAGAGCCAGGGGGACAUGGACUCCAGCAAUCCUGGGCCGGGGGACCCCAAGAGGACCAUGACCUCAUCGAUGAGACCCAGGAGGGACACGAACACGGGGUCCCGGUAGUCAAACCGGCGGCCAAAGAGGAGCAUAAAGGUGAUGUUGGAGGGAGCCCAGCCCAGCAGGGCCAGUGGGAAGGGCCGGCCUUCAAGAGGAGAUAAGCCUCAGGUGCGUCGAGGCCCUGGGCAGGGGCGUCCCCGGCCCCCCCGCUCACCUUCGUAGCCAUCCAGCUGCUCUGAGAGGCAUUUCAGCUCCUGCAGAAUCUUGUCAGCCAUCAGCUCCCGGCCCAUGCCCAGACUGUGCAGAGCACGCACGGUGAAGUGGCGAGCAGCCCUCCAGCGUGCCCCGGAAGAGAAGAAGAUGCCUGUGGGCAGGCGCGGCGCCCAUGUCUUCACCCCAGCCAGCCCCGCCAUGUGACCGGGCAGGAAGUGAGCAGGCAGCGGGACUGGCUGGGGCCUCACCCCCAUCCCCACUCCUGUCCCCCUGGGUUGGCCCCUGGCCCCUCCUGACUUGGGAUGAAAAGAUCCUCACUUGCUGGUCCUGAGCACCCGACCUGCCAUGUGGACACCUGGCUCUACCCAGCACCAGCUCGGAGGCCUGGCUUCUGCCUGCUCUUCCCCAGCCCCACUGGGGACUCUCUCCCACUGUUGGAGCCCCCACCCCCCCGGGAUCCAGUGCCCCCACACCCAGCAGGCCCCUGCAGUGCCAGUUGGCCGCACACCUACCUCCACCUCGCUGGAUGAGCUGGAAGAUGGCGAUGGGAGGCCGGUCGGCCAGCUCCUGCCCAGGGCCUGCCAGCGCCUCCUUGACUGCCUCAAACCCCGUCAGUACCACAGUCUUCUGGCGCCCCAGGUGCACGGUGAACACCGGCCCAUAGCGUUCUGAGAGCUGGCAGGGAUGGCAGGGGUCACCCAGGCAGCCCUCACCCACAAGGCCCCCUUGGGGCCCCUUGGGCUGGGCCUGUACUGUACUGGGUAGGGGUGGGGACAGAGGGGGGAAAUGGGGGCAGGUGGAGGGGCACUUAGAUGCCAUAAAGCGGGCUGUGCAGGGUGGAGGGCAGCAUCCAGCCUGGAGCCCCCAGAGCCCUCUCGCCAUCCAGUGCAUGGCAUGGCUGUUGUGGUCUUCUCUUUUUAGCCAAAAUUCCUGGAGGGUUCCUUUGAGCCCCGAGUCCAGGCAGCAGGGUGGGGAGCUGUCUGCUGGGGUGGCAUGUUCUGAAAGGCCAGAGUCUGCACAGAGUGAGGGCCUGACAACGUGGCCCCCAGCGACCCUGACCCUUCCUUGGCUGCAGCCCAGCCAGGAGCAUCCAGCUUGCAGUCAGGGGCAGCCAGAGACAGGGCCUGGGCGUGACUAUGAGUCCUGUCCCACUGACCCUGCCUGCCUGAGUAAGGACAGGAUGACAGUGCCGGUCAGUGUGCCCCGUGCCAGGCCCAGAAGGGCAUGCAGGAGGCCGGAGUGCCCACCCAUGCCCUCUGUCCUAAGUAUCCCUGCCCCAGGAGGCACCGACCGUCUUCUUCCCAUUUCACACAUGAGGAAAUGGAGGCUGGGAAGUGGGAGGUGUUUGCUGUUGAACACCUGAGGGUAGAAGGGGCUCCACCCUGGGCCUGUGGCUGCCUGCUCAGCCCCCAGCACAGCCAGGUGGGUGGUGGCCUCUGGGGCCCCAGUACUGGGUGAGGCCCAGUCCACCUCUUGGAUCAUGGGCAGCUCCAGUGAGGGUCUGCCUCCACCCACCAGGUCCCCUGGGGCCCCUGAAGGCCCGGCCUGUGCUGGGCAGGUGUAGGUAAGGCAGGGAGGGUCUGGGAGAGGUCACCUGGCAGGAGCCCCUGGGGGGGCAGGGCUGGGGAGGGAUGGCCUGUCCCUGUUGAGGGCCUCAGAGGCUGAGCACAGGGGACUGCUUUGAGGGGUGGUGGCAGGGCGCCUGUUGGUCAGGCAGCAGGGCUGGCCACCUCUAUAGGGCAGGGCAGGGCAGAGGCAGCCAGCUCCUGGCUGUGGGGAAGGGCAGCCUACCCUCAACAUGGGGGCCACCUCCAGCCCAGGAAGGAAGGGGCCACACUUGGGAGGCUCCCACCUGCCCGGGCCAUCUCUAUGUGCAGUCCAGGUCCUGUCUCAGACCAUUUCCAGAGCCCCUGCCCUCCUGCCCUCUGCUGUCCCUCAGCUUGGCCUCCUGCAGGUUCUCAGCAGUCACCACCUCCUCCAGGGAGCCCUCCAGACUCCUGCUCCUGAGCCCAGACCCUGGGCAGCACCUCCAGGGCUGCUUCCUAGGGUGUCUGCUUCCCUGUGGGGUAGGGCUGCUUUCCCUUCCCAAAGGCAGGGUGGGCACUCAGGCCUCCUGCAUCCCCCGCUGGGCCCAGCACCAUGUGGGCAUGGACAGUGGAAAUGGGGCUUUGCUGUCCCAGAAGGGCAAGGACACAGGUCCGCCCAGGUGGUGAGAGCUGCCGGGUUCUCUGACCUACCUCCAUCAGGGACCGGUCCUGUUGCGACAGACGCAGCAAGUGCAGGUUCCCGAUGAGCGGCAGCGGACGAGGCCCCGGGGGCCACCGGGGGGCUGGGGAGGGGUCUCGGGCCCAGGCUUGGAGCAGUCCCCAGAGCCCCAGGAGGCCCAGGAGCAGCAGGAUCAGUAGGGCCAUGAGGACGUGGCUGGCGAGGCCCUGCUCCCCUCCAGGGCCUCGUCCCCCCUCCCCCCCAGCGGCCUUAUAGGCCUCCCUGGGAGGGCGUGCCGCACCCCACCCUCCCCACCACCCCUCAUAGGCCUCCCCUGGUGGGCGUGCCCGCACCUCACCUACCCUCCCUACUGCCUUGAGAAUGUGGAGUGAGCAGUUUGCAGGGCAGCCCCCAGCGGGCUGCUUCAAGCUUCAGGCCUUCAUGGAAUGUGGGGCUGAGGCCCUGCUGGGGCCAGGAAGGGGAGUGCAGGACUGGGGGCCCUCUGGGGUCUGGCAUCCAUGUCAUCUGUCCAGGGAGAAGGACAGAGCCUAUUGACUGUUCUGUCCCUGGUUCUGGUGUACCCACCAGUCUGGGCCUCUCAGCCCUGGCCACCCCUCAGAACUUGGAUUCACAGGGCGUUGGGGCCCAGGCCCCAACUUGGAGGGGAGCUCCCCUUUCUCAGGCUCUGAGCAGGGCCCCUGUGGAGCUCAGGGUGUACAGGCCUCUCCCAAACCCUAUCCAUGUGCACCCUGCUCCUCCCUGAUCAGCUCCCCACGGGGCAAGGGACAGGAGUGAGACCUUGGGGCAGCCCAUUCGGGGCCUCAAAUCCCACAGCCCUCACAGGCUGUCAGCUGCAUUCCCUGAGACUGCCCUCACCCCAGCAGCUGCCUGCUCCCGGUGGCUGUUUGAGGGCUGCUGCGGGGCAGGAGAUGCAGCUGUCUAAGCUGGGACAGGACAGUGGAAGGGCUGCUGCGUGGCAGGUGGUGGGGUUGUCGAUCCCUGUCCAUCUGCCCUAAACCUCUGCGAGGGCGGGAACUCUACUGGCUGGCAACUAGCAAAGCUUACUUAAUUAAUUCGGGGAAUGUGAUCAUGGCUCACUGCAGCCUCUACCUCGUGGGCUCAAGCUGUCCUCCCACCUCAGCCUCCCAAAUAGCUGGGACUACAGGCACACACCACCAAACCCAGCUAAUUUUAUUUAUUUAUUUAUUUUUGUAGAGAUGGGGUCUCACUAUGUUGCUCAGGCUGGUCUCGAACUCCUGGAUUCAAGCAAUCCUCCUGCCUUAACCUCCUAAAGUGUUGGGAUUACAGGUGUGAGCCACUGCACUUGGCCUGAUGUUUUAAGUUUCUUGUAGAGACAGAGUCUAGAGGCUGGCCACUCCUCCUGGGCUCAAGUGAUCCUCCUGUUGCAGCCUCCCAAAGCACUGGGGUUACUGGCAUGAGCCACCACCGGGCCAGCCUCUUUUUUUCUUUUUCUUUCUUUUUUUUUUUUUUGAGACAGAGUUUCACUUUUGUCACCCAGGCUGGAGUACAGUGGCGUGAUCUUGGCUCACUGCAACCUCUAUCUCCCGGGUUCAAGUGAUUCUCCUGCGUCAUCCUCCCAAGUAGCUGGGAUUACAGGUGUCUGCCACCACGCCUGGCUGAUUUUUGUAUUUUUAGUAGAGAUGGGGUUUCACCUUGUUGGCCAGGCUGGUGUUGAGUUCCUGACCUCUAGUGUUCCACAGGCGUCAGCUUCUCACAGUGCUGGGAUGACAGGUGUGAGCCCCGGAGCCCGGCCCUCUUUUUAAAGUAACUCUUUCCUGGGGAAUAGACAGUGUUUUUCUAACUGCAACCUGUAAGUGUGGCUUGCUUUAGGGGACAUGGCUGGGUAUGCAUAUUCACAUUGUUUCCAAUCUUAGGCUGUCACAGAACAUCUUGCUAAAAAUACCUGUGUGUAUACUUGCAAGGAUGCCUUAAAAUAAAUUCCUAGAAACCAGGUGGCUGAGCCAAGGGAUUGUUUUGUUCUGAUGUCCAGUGGUCCUCCAGCACCCUGCAGAGACGAGUGCCAACUGCAGCCCCAGCUGCUGUAGUGGAGCCUAGGACUGUUCUGAUCGUCCCUGAUUGGUCCAGCCCUGCCGGUCAGUUACUCAACCCUGAGCCAUCCCAGUGACCAGGAGGAAUGCAGUGCUCUGAUUGGCUGGCUCAGGUCCUGGCCAGCCCUGACAUCAGAGGCAGGGUUGGUGGGUGGGUGGGCAGGUGGACUCCCCCAGAGGGGCUGGAGUCAGGCAGACCUGGUUCCAAACUCAGCCCCGCACCUGUUGGCUGCAGCAGAUGGCGGCUUCCAGAGACGGCCACACAGAUUCCCCCAACCACACUGUCUUUGCAUACUGUGACACUGUGCUUCUUCCUCCACGGUAGGGCUUGUGUUCUUAACCCUUUGUGAAACAAAGUAAGAGAGCAGAAGCUAUGUUUGCUCAUCAUUCUGCCUAUGGCGUUUCACGGGACACUUUUGCAGCGCACUGGAGGUCCAUCAGACAUCAAAAAGGAACAGGCCCUUGGCUCAGUGACCCAGUUUCCAGGAUUUUAUUUAUUUAUUUAUUUUUGAGGCGGAGUCUUGCUCUGUCACCCAGGCUGGAGUGCAGUGGCGUGAUCUGGGCUCACUGUAACCUCUGCCUCCCGGGUUCAAGUGAUUCUCCUGCCUCAGCCUCCCGAGUAGCUGGGAUUACAGGCACCCACCACCUGCACCCAGCUAAUUUUUGUAUUUUUAGUAGAGACAGCGUUCCACUAUUUUGGCCAGGCUGGUCUCCUGACCUCGUGAUCCACCCACCUUGGCUUCCCAAAGUGCUAGGAUUGCAGGUGUAAGCCACCCCGCCUGGCCUCCAGGAAUUUAUUUUAAGGCAUCCUUGCAACUGUGCAAAAAUGUGCACCUUGCCUCCAUGGCUGGGCGCAGCCUCCUGGAAGAAUGCCCAUCCCCUCCUCCGCCAGGCUGAGCAGGCACGGCAUAGGAUCCCAUGGCUCUUGCUUGAAUUGCUGCAUGUUUUAAAAAGAUAAGGUCAACGAUCCUAGCCCUUGCCUCCUCCUGUACAUAAGCUAACGCCUGACAGGAUGAGAGGCUGUAAUCUAUGACCAGAUGGACUCUUGCACCAAAACUUUGAUGAUCACAUUUGGCUCUAAGGUAGUCUCUGAGCACCUGCAAACCCCCGCCACCUGUUUAUACGCUGUGGCCCAAAACAUUGCUUUGGACCAUUGGAACAGAAACUCUCUGGCAGACUCUCCUGGGUUGCUCAAUAGGAAUCCUAGUAAAACUAACUUUAAUUCCUCAAGAGUGUAAUUUUGGGUUUUUUUGAUAUAGAGUCUUGCUCUUUAGCCCAGGCUGGAGUGUAGUGGUGUGAUCUCGGCUCACUCCAAACUCCACCUCCUGGAUCCAAGCAAUUCUCCUGCCUCAGCCUUCCAAGUAGCUGGGAUUACAGGCCUGCGCCACCAAGCCCAGCUAAUUUUUUUGUACUUUUAAUAGAAACGGGGUUUCACCAUGUUGGCCAGGCUGGUCUUGAACUCCUGACCUCAAGUGAUCCACCCACCUUGGCCUUUCAAAGUGCUGGGAUUACAGGCAUGAGCCACUGUGCCCAGCCAUGUAAUUUUUCUUGAGUGGACUCCUUGAAUCUGGGUGGGUGCUUGUGACCACGGUGGAGGCUGGAUCACACCCAGUGAUGCAGCUUCCUCCGGUUUCCCGGGGGCACCUGUGCUAGGGACCAGCCACCAUGCUGUGGGGAAGCCCAUUAGAUUGUAGAGGGGCCUAUGUGGAGGGGAACCCUGGCCCAUGGGACAAUGGCCAGGCUCCCACCUGACCCUGAGACUACCUGCCAGCCACAUGCACCACCAUGAGUGGAUCCUCCAGUCCGAAGUGGAGUAAACCCAGUCAAGGCCUCAUGGAGUGUCUCCACCAAGACCUGCCUGAGUGCAAGUUCAUGGAGACAGGGUUUUGUUAAAACACGGGAGCUUUGAAUGAAGAGACCUUCCAAACAGGCUUUGUGUAAGUAACCUGGCUGUUUAUUCACCUGGGUGCAGGUGGGCUAAGGCCGAAAAGGGCGUUAGCAAAGGGCAGUGGGAUAGGAGUUGGUUUUAUAGCUUUGGGUAGGUUUUUGGGGGGUGGGGGGUGUUGCAGAGUAAGUUCAGUUACAGUGAGGAGGUUGGGUGAGAGGUAUUUACAUUAUCAUAAGAACAGUUAAGAUGACAGGGUUGGGUGAGGGGCUCGUCAGGGGAAGCUCUGCCAGGGACAAUGAUGAAUGUAGGCAGAGGGCGGGAGACUUUAGCAGAGGCAAGCAGGACUUCAGACUUUCAGGAUACAGGCUUUCCUAUGGAGAACUGACAGGUUCCAACAUGUUGCCAAAGCUGAUCUCAAACUCCUGUGCGCAAGUGAUCACCCACCUCGGCUUCCCAGAGUGCUGGGAUUACAGGCAUGAGCCACCGCCCCUGCCCCUUCCCCACUUCUUUACCCAGGAACUGCCCAUAAAAAUUCCUUCCUCUUCUCUCCCAGCUAAAGAUCUCAUAUAAAGCAAUAAUCAUUUGCCAUGUGACAAUGAAUUAAAAGCUGACUGUCACCUCCAGAGGCCACAGGUCCCUUGGGGCUCCCAGACAGAGAGGCUUAGGGCAGCCCCAAGGGAAGGGCUGUCCUUCCACUGCUAAACUGCUGCUCCAGUCCAAUUAGUGAGCACCCUUUGCUGGGUAAUAAAAGCUCCCAUUGUUUACAUCCCUGGAAGCAUAUUAAUGAGUAACCCAGUACGUGGGCCCCUGGUUCUAGCCCUUAAAAUAGUUGUUUAUAUGACAGGAACAAGGUGCAAUUUUCCAUUUGUAGUUUUAAGUGGGCCCAGAGCCCCAGGCUGGUCAAGGCCCUGACACUGGGUUCCUGCAGCCCCAGGCCCUCUCUCUCUCUUUUUUUUUUUCAAAGAUGGGGGCGAGGGGGGUGCGGGGCAUGGGGGUCUCACCAUGUUGGUCAGCCUGGUCUUGAACUCCCGACCUCAGGUGAUCUGCCCACCCUGGCUUCCAAAGUGCUUGGAUUACAGGCGUGAGCCACCAUGCCCGGCCCCCAGGCCCUCUCUUGGGGCCUCAGCAGUGAGGUCCCCAUUGCCCUGCGGUCCAGAAACAUUGAAGUCCACACGGAGCACAGUCCAACCUCCGAGAAGAAUCUAACAGAGGCCUUGCAGAGGGGCAGGCUCCUCAGGGCCCAGCGAGGGAGAGCUGGAAGCCUCAGUGGGAGGGGGCGCCUGAGCCAGGCUUGAAGAAGGGCAGGUCCUGCAGUGGAGGCUGUUUGGCCGCCUUGACCAAGCCCUUGUCUGCAAGCAACCCCUGGGAAGUGGCAGGAAUUGGCUCCUAAGCAACAGUGGUUUCAGGCCAUACCAGGGUCCAGAGAGAGCCAGGCUGCGAACUCAGCAUUGCUGGGGACCCACUGUGCUUACUCUUAGGGCCUGGCACAUGGCAGCCAUUGUGAAAUGGGUAGGAUGAAUGAGUGGGUGGAGGGUGGAGGCUGGAGCUUCAGCAGCCCAUGGUGCUCUGGAAGGGCCAGUGAUCCACUUCCUCCAGGGCCAGGGCAGGGAGGUACAGGUUCAGGGCUGCAGGAGUCUCUGCAGGCAGGAACUGGAGUCUCCACUGAGCCCUUUCCCACCACUGCUGUUGCCAAGACAACAUCCACAAGCAAAUGCUGGGCUCUGCCACUUACAGUACACUUUCAUUCUGUCAUAGGAUGAGUAGUUACCCCCACAUUCAUAUGGUAGUCUUAGCCCCAGUACCUUAGAAUGCUUUAGAAAUUGGUGCCGGAUGCCGUGGCUCACGCCUGUAAUCCCAGCCUUUUGGGAGGCUGAGGUGGACAGAUCACUUGAGGUCGGGAGUUGGAGACCAGCCUGGGCAACAUGGUGAAACCCUGUCUCUACUAAAAAUACAAAAAUUAGGUGUGGUGGUGCAUGCAUGUAAUCCCAGCUACUUGGGAGGCUGAGGCAGAAGAAUAGCUUGAACCUGGGAGGUGGAGUUUGCAGUGAACCGAGAUAGAGCCACUGCACUCCAGCCUGGGCAACAAGAAAGAGACUCUGUCUUAAAAAACAAAACAAAGAAAUAGGGUUGCUGCUGAUGUAAUUAGUUAAGAUGAAGUUAUUGGGAUGGGCCUUAACCCAACAUAACUGCUAUCCUUAUAAAAAGAAAAUUUUGGUUGGGCAUGGUGGCUCACGCCUACAAUCCGGGCAAUUUGGGAGGCUGAAGUGGGAGGAUUGCCUGAGCCCAGGAGUUAAGGACCAGCCUGGGCAACGUAGAGACACUUCAUCUAUACAAAAAAUACAAAAAUUAGCCUGGUGUGGUGAUGCAUGCCUAUAGUCCCAGCUACUCAGGAGGCUGGGGCAGGAGGACCGCUGAGCCAAGGAGGUCGAGGCUGCAGUGAGUCGUGAUUAUGGCAUUGCACUCCAGCCUGGGCAACAGGGCAAGACCCUGUCUCAAACAAAUUUUUAAAAAUAGGAAAUUUGGACACGUGGAGGACACCAUGAGAACACAGGGGCUGAGAGCAGGUGGUGCUUCUGCAAGGCAAGGAACAUCAGGGGCUGGUGGCCCCCAGAAGCUAGGAGGCAGGCCUGGGACCGUCCCCAGGGCCCCCACUCUGCCCACCGCUUGGACUCCGGCCCAGGGACUGAGCACAUUCCUGUUGUUGAAGCUGCUCGCCGGUGGCGCUUGACUCCAGAAGCCGCAGGCAGCGCAUCCACAGGCUCUCCUGGCCCUCCCGUGCUGCCUUCCUCCUCGGGUGGUCCCUGUGAUGAGGCCUCUGUGCGAUGGGGAAACCGAGGCCCUGGCAGACACCUGGGAUGCAGAGACUCCCGGUACCGCUGUUUGUCCUCGGGCAAUUUGCUGAACCUUUCUGGGUUUCAGUUUCUCACCCAUUCCAAGAGCUGAUGGCUGGGCUUCGGCCACCGACUGCUGGACGGGAAAGCCCAUGCAGCGCCCACAGGGGCUCAGAUGAGGCCAAGGGGGCGGGGUCGGGCCUGGG
Callithrix jacchus (white-tufted-ear marmoset) is the source of this 10348-nucleotide non-coding RNA. The record is from RefSeq and is a predicted model, not a curated record. Lineage: Eukaryota; Metazoa; Chordata; Mammalia; Primates; Cebidae.